RNAcentral lists this ribosomal RNA (251 nucleotides) under uncultured bacterium. RNAcentral's name for it is "partial 16S ribosomal RNA". It matches the Rfam family "Bacterial small subunit ribosomal RNA", at positions 104 to 339 of the family's 1533-position model. The record is from RNAcentral.
AGGGUGAGUAACACGUGAGCAAUCUGCCUUCGAGUGGGGAAUAACACUGGGAAACCGGUGCUAAAACCGCAUAAGACCACGGUCUGGCAUCAGACCGAGGUAAAAAGGGGGGACCGCAAGGCCUCUUGCUUGAAGAUGAGCUCGCGUCCUAUCAGCUUGUUGGUGGGGUAACGGCCUACCAAGGCUUUUGACGGGUAGCUGGUCUGAGAGGAUGGUCAGCCACAUUGGGACUGAGACACUGCCCAGACUCC